GUGAAACUGAUCACCCUUAACACACCUGAUCUUGUCUGAUCUCAGAAGCUAAGCAGGGUCAGGUCUAGUUAGUGCUUGGAUGAUACUGAUCAGAGCAUGCAGAAAAUUUGCACA
This 114-nucleotide ribosomal RNA is filed under the name Octodon degus (degu). Lineage: Eukaryota; Metazoa; Chordata; Mammalia; Rodentia; Octodontidae. The record is from RNAcentral.